GCACUAGUAGAAUGCCGCGGGUGGUCACAUGUCAGCUCCACGGCUACUAGGAUAGUGGACACAGCGCGCCUGGCUACUGCACUAGCACAAUGCCGCGGGUGGUGACACCUCAGCUCCACGGCUACUAGGAUUGUGGACACAGCGCGCCUGGCUACUGCACUAGUAGAAUGCUGCGGGUGGUGACACGUCAGCGCCGCGGUACUAGGAUAGUGGGCACACUGCGCCUGGCUACUGCACUAGUAGAAUGCCGCGGGUGGUGACACGUCAGCGCCGCGGUACUAGGAUAGUGGACACAGCGCGCCUGGCUACUACACUAGUAGAAUGCCGCGGGUGGUGACACGUCAGCGCCGCGGCUACUACCUUACUGGACACAGUGCGCCUGGCUACUGUACUAGUAGAAUGCCGCGGGUGGUGACACGUCAGCUCCACAGCUACUAGGAUAGUGGACACAGCGCGCCUGGCUACUACACUAGUAGA
RNAcentral lists this long non-coding RNA (477 nucleotides) under Volvox carteri. Its description in RNAcentral is "long non-coding RNA (VCAR_LNC004094)". Lineage: Eukaryota; Viridiplantae; Chlorophyta; Chlorophyceae; Chlamydomonadales; Volvocaceae. The record is from RNAcentral.